Molecule: ribosomal RNA, 768 nt
Filed under: Lepeophtheirus salmonis (salmon louse)
Lineage: Eukaryota; Metazoa; Arthropoda; Copepoda; Siphonostomatoida; Caligidae
Description: SSU rRNA
Rfam family: Eukaryotic small subunit ribosomal RNA
Source: RNAcentral
UAACGAAGCCGGACUCAUCCGAGGCCCGGUUAUCGGAAUGAGUACACUUUAAAUCCUUUAACGAGGAACAAUUGGAGGGCAAGUCUGGUGCCAGCAGCCGCGGUAAUUCCAGCUCCAAUAGCGUAUAUUAAAGUUGUUGCGGUCAAAAAGCUCGUAGUUGGAUUUCGGUGAGUAAGGAGGGGUUCAUCUUGUUUGAUGUAACUGCUGUCUUGUCUCGCGUUUUUCGACAGAGGUUUCGAUGGUGCCUUUCAAAGGGUGUCUCGGGAUACUGUCGGGUUUACUUUGAAAAAAUUAGAGUGCUCAAAGCAGGCUUUUAAAAGCUUGAAUAUUAGUGCAUGGAAUAAUGAAAUAGGAAGUCGUUUCUAUUUUGUUGGUUUUCGGAAAUCGACUUAAUGAUUAAUAGGGACAGUCGGGGGCAUUAGUAUUCAGACGACAGAGGUGAAAUUCUUGGACCGUCUGAAGACUAACUACUGCGAAAGCAUUUGCCAAGAAUGUUUUCAUUAAUCAAGAACGAAAGUUAGAGGUUCGAAGGCGAUCAGAUACCGCCCUAGUUCUAACCAUAAACGAUGCCAGCUAGCGAUCCGCAGUUGUUUAUUUUUACGACUCUGCGGGAAGCUUCCGGGAAACCAAAGCUUUUGGGUUCCGGGGGAAGUAUGGUUGCAAAGCUGAAACUUAAAGGAAUUGACGGAAGGGCACCACCAGGAGUGGAGCCUGCGGCUUAAUUUGACUCAACACGGGAAAUCUCACCAGGCCCGGACACUGGAAGGA